GGCCCGGUGAUGAAACUGGCAGACAUGCAGCGCUUAGGACGCUGUGCCGCGAGGUGUGCGGGUUCGAAUCCCGCCCGGGCCA
RNAcentral lists this transfer RNA (82 nucleotides) under Blastocatellia bacterium. RNAcentral describes it as "tRNA-Leu". It matches the Rfam family "tRNA". Rfam says of the family: Transfer RNA (tRNA) molecules are approximately 80 nucleotides in length. Their secondary structure includes four short double-helical elements and three loops (D, anti-codon, and T loops). Further hydrogen bonds mediate the characteristic L-shaped molecular structure. tRNAs have two regions of fundamental functional importance: the anti-codon, which is responsible for specific mRNA codon recognition, and the 3' end, to which the tRNAs corresponding amino acid is attached (by aminoacyl-tRNA synthetases). tRNAs cope with the degeneracy of the genetic code in two manners: having more than one tRNA (with a specific anti-codon) for a particular amino acid; and 'wobble' base-pairing, i.e. permitting non-standard base-pairing at the 3rd anti-codon position. The record is from RNAcentral. Lineage: Bacteria; Pseudomonadati; Acidobacteriota; Blastocatellia.